ACAUACGACCAUACCCACUGGAGAACUCGGGAUCCCGUCCGCUCUCCCAUAGAUAAGCCAGUGAGGGCCGAAUUAGUAGUUGGGUCGGUGACGACCAGCGAAUACCUGGUGUUGUAUGUA
Molecule: non-coding RNA, 120 nt
Organism: Colletotrichum orbiculare MAFF 240422
Lineage: Eukaryota; Fungi; Ascomycota; Sordariomycetes; Glomerellales; Glomerellaceae
Source: Rfam